RNAcentral lists this ribosomal RNA (481 nucleotides) under uncultured bacterium. Its description in RNAcentral is "partial 16S ribosomal RNA". It matches the Rfam family "Bacterial small subunit ribosomal RNA", at positions 28 to 507 of the family's 1533-position model. The record is from RNAcentral.
GAUGAACGCUGGCGGCGUGCCUAACACAUGCAAGUCGAACGGAGAUUACGGACGGAAGUUUUCGGAUGGAAGACUGUAAUUCUUAGUGGCGGACGGGUGAGUAACGCGUGGGCAACCUGCCCUAUACAGGGGGAUAGCAGCUGGAAACGGCUGGUAAGACCGCAUAAGUCGGCGAGACCGCAUGGUUUUGCCGGGAAAUGAGCAAUCAGGUAUAGGAUGGGCCCGCGUCCGAUUAGCCAGUUGGCAGGGUAAAAGCCUACCAAAGCGACGAUCGGUAGCCGGACUGAGAGGUCGGACGGCCACAUUGGGACUGAGACACGGCCCAAACUCCUACGGGAGGCAGCAGUGGGGGAUAUUGCACAAUGGAGGAAACUCUGAUGCAGCGACGCCGCGUGAGUGAAGAAGUAUUUCGGUAUGUAAAGCUCUAUCAGCAGGGAAGAUGAUGACGGUACCUGACGAAGAAGCCCCGGCUAACUACGUG